Notolabrus celidotus (New Zealand spotty) is the source of this 570-nucleotide long non-coding RNA. RefSeq lists it as uncharacterized. Lineage: Eukaryota; Metazoa; Chordata; Actinopteri; Labriformes; Labridae. The transcript has 3 exons. The record is from RefSeq and is a predicted model, not a curated record.
CAGACACACAAUUAAGAAAAGGGCCUUUCACUGAUUGGUCAGAGGACGUCAAAAAAAGCCAUUUCUGCAACAAGUCAACACUGCCGUCUUCUCUGCGCUGGAUGACCGUCCAUCCACCGCCGGCUGUUUCCAUGUUACAGUACACCUACACAAAUGAAACAAGAGAGCAAAGGAGGGUGGGAAAACAUGCAUAGAGCUCCCAGGAGAUGUUCCUCAUCAGACGGCCUUGUUUCUGCAGGAUCAAAGAGGAGGUCCUGGGCGUAAUGUGGCCCUUAACCUUGGACCUCAGUGUGUGUAAGCUGAUAAUGUGAGGUUGGUGUUCUAUCUGCAGUGCUUCUCUUUUGUUUUGAGGAGGAGACCCCAGGGUGGAGCAGAGAAGGUCUCUCACCUCAGCCAGCCCACACAGCUGAACACACAUGAACACAACCUGGGUAUAAUUAAAGAAGGAGUCCUGACAGAAUGAUUUUCUCCGAGACCAGCUCAUCAUUCAUGCUUCACUGAGAGGCACACACACGCACAAACACACACCUGUUAACCUUUAAAAAUGAUGUGAAAUUAAAAGUCAUUAUG